This 691-nucleotide long non-coding RNA is filed under the name Helianthus annuus (common sunflower). RNAcentral describes it as "hypothetical non coding rna". Lineage: Eukaryota; Viridiplantae; Streptophyta; Magnoliopsida; Asterales; Asteraceae. The record is from RNAcentral.
UUCUUUCGAGAUAGUGAACAGAAGCAUUUCGUUUCUUUUCUUGUGCAUACUUCACAAACAAAUAGUGAGUGAGAGUUGUGUAUUUUGAGGGGCCUGAACGAACAUUUGGUAUCAGAGCCUAGGGCUCCUGAAGACGGAGAAGGCCGGUUUGAGAGUCGGUUUCGAGAAAGGGGUGUAGCCCGUCGCUGCGGGGCAAAUGCAGCAGGAAGAAACCGAGUUUCGGGUAUUUGCGAGUGAUCAGGACAGCAGGGGGUGUCCGGUAAAAAGUCGUGAUGGUUUGAAACCGAAGUGAUUCGAUGCUACGGUGAAGGCGUAAAAGAACACCGAUUAAGGGGGUGAUUGUUGGAUUAUUCAGGUUUGUUUACGGGUCACGGAUCGGUGCGUUACCGAGUCACGGGUUCGUUUACGGGUCAAACGGGUCAAGAGUUGUUUGACAGAAUCUUAUUAGAAUAUAGGAAUUAUACCCAUGAUCUCAAAUAUGCGCGCCAUUAAGAAAUGGUCAAGGUUGAGCAAGUUAUUUGGAGGUGUGGGUUAAAUAGCACAUGUUAGGCAGAAUACUAGGUCAAUAGUUUUUGCCGAUUUGUUAGUUGAAUUAGUAUAUUUUAUUACUUUUUUUAUUUCCCACGUGUUAGUGCAUGGAAGGCUAUUUAAAGCCAUCUCUAUUUGUUGAAUAAAAUAACCCUUCAUUCGA